UACGAAGGGUGCUAGCGUUGUUCGGAAUCACUGGGCGUAAAGCGCACGCAGGCGGAUCGAUAAGUCGGGGGUGAAAGCCCGGGGCUCAACCUCGGAAUUGCCUUCGAUACUGACGGUCUCGAGUCCGGGAGAGGUGAGUGGAAUUCCUCGUGUAGAGGUGAAAUUCGUAGAUAUUAGGAAGAACACCAGUGGCGAAGGAGGCUCACUGGCCCGGUACUGACGCUCAGGUGCGAAAGCGUGGGGAGCAAACAGG
Molecule: ribosomal RNA, 253 nt
Filed under: uncultured bacterium
Lineage: Bacteria
Description: partial 16S ribosomal RNA
Rfam family: Bacterial small subunit ribosomal RNA
Source: RNAcentral